GCCGGUGUGUUGGAAUUGGCAGACGAGACAGACUCAAAAUCUGUUGUCCGAAAGGGCGUGUGGGUUCGAGUCCCACCACCGGCA
Molecule: transfer RNA, 84 nt
Filed under: Oscillospiraceae bacterium
Lineage: Bacteria; Bacillati; Bacillota; Clostridia; Eubacteriales; Oscillospiraceae
Description: tRNA-Leu
Rfam family: tRNA
About the family: Transfer RNA (tRNA) molecules are approximately 80 nucleotides in length. Their secondary structure includes four short double-helical elements and three loops (D, anti-codon, and T loops). Further hydrogen bonds mediate the characteristic L-shaped molecular structure. tRNAs have two regions of fundamental functional importance: the anti-codon, which is responsible for specific mRNA codon recognition, and the 3' end, to which the tRNAs corresponding amino acid is attached (by aminoacyl-tRNA synthetases). tRNAs cope with the degeneracy of the genetic code in two manners: having more than one tRNA (with a specific anti-codon) for a particular amino acid; and 'wobble' base-pairing, i.e. permitting non-standard base-pairing at the 3rd anti-codon position.
Source: RNAcentral